CAGCUCCAAUAGCGUAUAUUAAAGUUGUUGCAGUUAAAAAGCUCGUAGUUGAAUUUCGGGAUUAGUACGUUGGUCGUGCCUUAGGUACGUACUGGUGUUACUGGUUCCUACCUUCUGACGAACCAUCAUGUCAUUAAUUUGGUGUGGCGGGGAAUCAGGACUGUUACUUUGAAAAAAUUAGAGUGUUUAAAGCAGGCUCGCGCUUGAAUACAUUAGCAUGGAAUAAUGAAAUAGGACGUUGACCCUAUUUUGUUGGUUUCUAGGAUUGACGUAAUGAUUAAUAGGGAUAGUUGGGGGCAUUAGUAUUCAAUUGUCAGAGGUGAAAUUCUUGGAUUUAUUGAAGACUAACUACUGCGAAAGCAUUUGCCAAGGAUGUUUUCAUUAAUCAAGAACGAAAGUUAGGGGAUCGAAGACGAUCAGAUACCGUCGUAGUCUUAACCAUAAACUAUGCCCGACUAGGGAUCGGAUGAUGUUAUUUUUAAUGACUC
RNAcentral lists this ribosomal RNA (488 nucleotides) under uncultured Glomus. RNAcentral's name for it is "SSU rRNA". It matches the Rfam family "Eukaryotic small subunit ribosomal RNA", at positions 586 to 1077 of the family's 1831-position model. Lineage: Eukaryota; Fungi; Glomeromycota; Glomeromycetes; Glomerales; Glomeraceae. The record is from RNAcentral.